AGAGUUUGAUCCUGGCUCAGAUUGAACGCUGGCGGCAUGCCUAACACAUGCAAGUCGCACGCGAAAGGGGGCAACCCCGAGUAGAGUGGCGGACGGGUGCGUAAUACGCAGGAAUCUACCCACGAGUGGGGGACAACCCGGGGAAACCCGGGCUAAUACCGCAUGAGACCUACGGGUGAAAGCGGGGGAUCGCAAGACCUCGCGCUGGUGGAUGAGCCUGCGUCCGAUUAGCUAGUUGGUAGGGUAAAAGCCUACCAAGGCAACGAUCGGUAGCUGGUCUGAGAGGACGACCAGCCACACUGGGACUGAGACACGGCCCAGACUCCUACGGGAGGCAGCAGCGGGGAAUAUUGGACAAUGGGGGCAACCCUGAUCCAGCAAUGCCGCGUGUGUGAAGAAGGCCUUCGGGUUGUAAAGCACUUUCGAUGGGGACAAACGUGUCGGGCUUAAUACGUCCGGCCUUGAUGGUACCUAGAGAAGAAGCACCGGCUAACUCUGUGCCAGCAGCCGCGGUAAUACAGAGGGUGCAAGCGUUAAUCGGAAUUACUGGGCGUAAAGCGUGCGUAGGUGGUUGGAUAAGUCAGGUGUGAAAUCCCCGAGCUUAACUUGGGAAUUGCGCUUGAUACUGUCCGGCUAGAGUGUGGUAGAGGGUAGUGGAAUUCCGCAUGUAGCGGUGAAAUGCGUAGAUAUGCGGAGGAACAUCAGUGGCGAAGGCGGCUACCUGGACCAACACUGACACUGAGGCACGAAAGCGUGGGUAGCAAACAGGAUUAGAUACCCUGGUAGUCC
This 789-nucleotide ribosomal RNA is filed under the name uncultured bacterium. RNAcentral's name for it is "bacterial SSU rRNA". It matches the Rfam family "Bacterial small subunit ribosomal RNA", at positions 8 to 796 of the family's 1533-position model. The record is from RNAcentral.